This is a long non-coding RNA of Dreissena polymorpha, 2262 nucleotides long. RefSeq lists it as uncharacterized. The record is from RefSeq and is a predicted model, not a curated record. NCBI's taxonomy places the organism in Eukaryota, Metazoa, Mollusca, Bivalvia, Myida, Dreissenidae. The transcript has 3 exons.
GUGGUAAGUACACAUACUUUCUAUAAUUUCAUAUUGAACUGUUUUGAUGACUUGUAUACUGCUAUGCAAAAUGUCUGUUUUUCAUUUCAGUAGCCUGUGGUAAGUACACUAACUUUCUAUAAUUUCAUAUUGAACUGUUUUGAUGAUUUGUAUACUGCUAUGCAUUGCUAAAUGUUUUUUUCAUUUCAGUAUAGCUGUGGUAAGUACACUAACUUUCUUUAAUUUUCAUAUUGAACUGUUUUGAUGACUUGUAUUCUGCUAUACAAAAUGUGCUUUUUUCAAUUUCAGUUCAGCAAUGGUAAGUAUAUUGUGUUUCUUUAUGUAUAAUUUUGUAUACAUAUUGUUUUUUUCAUCAUAGCAUGUUUUUUAUAUUUAUGCUUUGUGUAAGUAAAAUGUUCAUAAAUCAUUCUUAUCUUUAAACUAAAAAUGUAUUUUGAUAUGCAAAAUGUCUGUAUGAUUUCAGUUGCCAGAGGUGAGUACCAUAACAGUUGAAAAGUUAGUUUUGUUUAGUUAAAGUUUUGGUUCACAGUUUUGUUUGUUAUUUGGCAAAAUUUACAUGUAUGCAUUGAGUCUUGAUUUCAGCUCGAUUGUGGACUGAAGAAGAUUGCCAGCAGAGGGAUUGGAUACAAAAUACAAAGUAAGUACUGAGUUUCUUACUAAAAGUUUUGAGUUGUAUUCAUUGUGUGUAAAUAUGCUAUGAUUGCUAUGAACAUGACUUUUGUAUUUCAGCGAAGACAACAUAGGUAAGUAAAAUUGUUAUCUGUUUCAUGUUUACUGUUACAGUUCAAUAUUGUGUUUAUAAAUUUUAAGUUGUACAAACACAUUCAAAAGUUUCUAAUCAUGCUUUCGAUUUCAUUUCAGCUUUACUGCUAGACGAGUGUUCUCUACUACUUGACGAGUCAGCUUUACUACCAGGCGAGCAGUGACAACAAGGCGCCUUUGUGGAAACAACACAACAAAAAACUCUACUGCUAGACGAGCAGUGACAGAAAGGCGCCUGAACAUGCAACACAAUACAAAAAAUGCCAAUAUCCAAACCUUGAUGUGGACACCGAGUAGUCAAUACAUACGUGUGGCGUAUAGCUGCGACAAAACCGUGGGUCCAUCGCACCGAUAACUUGAACAUUGGCCCGUGUAUGGACAUCAGUGCAACUUUGUGAAUCCAUGUAACUUUGUGAAUCCAUGUAACAUUGCGAAUAUGUGUCGAUCAAAAAAUGUGAACAUUAUGCAAUGAAACGAACUCGGUGUUGCAAGUGGCAAGUGUUGACAGUGUGUAUGUUUAUGUUUAUGUUUUUACAUGAAAAAUAAAGGAGAUUGUUCUCCUACCUUUUUUUCCUUGUUUUAUUGUGCUGGCCAGCAAUAUUGAUGUAUUGAUGUAUGUGUUUGUGUUUAAACUAUGCAAUACCAAAAUCAAACAAAAAAUAAACAUUAACAGUCAUUAACUGUGUUUGGGCGGCCGAGGGGUUUAAGACUCCACAAGUGUGAAGCGCACUGAUAGCACUUGGGGGUAAACACCUCGGUAUUUCGGUGCUAAAAUGUUUUCACGGUGCUUAUUUUGACGCACUGUUAGAACUACCAACCAGUAAAUGAUUGCUUGAUUUAUAAAACAAAUAUUCAGUCUCUACUUUGGCACAAGAGACUCUAAGUAUCAAAUACCAACAAUUUAGACGCAGACAAUCACAUGGUGGUACACCAGUCCGAAUAUACUCAUUGCUCUAGCCAGGAUUGCAAAUUACUUGUGUUGACUAGCAAGGCUCCCUAGUAACGGAGCAGUGUUACUGGCGUUUUUUGGGUCGAUAGUGCUUAGGUGAGGUUUUGCUCGAAUCGGGAGCGGGUCACUCGCUUGGGCGAGUUAGUUUUCGCUCGUAGUUUCCAAUCUGGCUAGAUCAAUGUAAGGUUGUUUUGACUGCUAUUUGGCAAGCAGAAAGACAACAGCGGUUAAUUGACUGAGUAUGGGCGACCGAGGUAUGUAGGUGUCAAUAGACCGACUCCACAAGUUGCGAAGCGAACCGAUAGCACUUGAGGGGAAACGCCUCGGUUUUCGGUUCUAACAUGUGUUAUCCAUGCUGUCGUUAUACUCUGGCAAGGCUCCUCAAUCUAUCGCGAGGGACACUCAUUAUUGCCCGCAAGCUUUAGAACCUGACGUGGGUCGAUGCGUAUGCGAGUCCGAGGACGCGAUGGCAUUUGAUAAGGCUACCAACCGGUUGAUAACACGCAUUGUUCAAAUUGUUAGGUUUAAGUCUGCUAGGGCUGGGGUGGGAA